Molecule: ribosomal RNA, 441 nt
Filed under: uncultured bacterium
Lineage: Bacteria
Description: partial 16S ribosomal RNA
Rfam family: Bacterial small subunit ribosomal RNA
Source: RNAcentral
CCUACGGGCGGCAGCAGUAGGGGAUUUUCCACAAUGGGGGGAACCCUGAUGCAGCGACGCCGCGUGAGUGAAGGAGUGCUUCGGCCUGUAAAGCCCUAUCGGCCGGGAAGAAGCAAGACGGUACCUGACUACGAAGCCCCGGCUAACUACGUGCCAGCAGCCGCGGUAAUACGUAGGGGUCGAGCGUUAUCCGGAUUCACUGGGUGUAAAGGGAGCGUAGACGGCCAUGCCAGCCAGGGGUGAAAGCGCGGGGCCCAACCCCGGGACUGCCCAUGGACCUGGAUGGCUGGAGUGCGGGAGGGGCAGGCGGAAUUCCUGGUGUAGCGGUGAAAUGCGUAGAUAUCAGGAGGAACACCGGGGGCGAAGGUGGCCUGCUGGAACGCGACGGACGUUGAGGCCCGAAAGCGUGGGGAGCGAACAGGAUUAGAUACCCGGGUAGUC